AGUUAAAAAGCUCGUAGUUGGAUUUCGGGUGUGGGGCGCCGGUCCGCUUCGGUGUGCACUGGCGGCCCAGGCCUUCUUGUCGGGGAUGCGCUCUGGUAUUGAUUUAUCGGACGCAGAGUCGGCGCAGUUACUUUGAAAAAAUUAGAGUGUUCAAAGCAGGCUUUCGCUUGAAUACAUUAGCAUGGAAUAACAUGAUAGGACUCCGAUCCCAUUGUGUUGGUCUUCGGGACUGGAGUAAUGAUUAAGAGGGACAGUUGGGGGCAUUCGUACUUCAUUGUCAGAGGUGAAGUUCUUGGAUUUAUGAAAGACGAACUUCUGCGAAAGCAUUUGCCAAGGAUGUUUUCAUUAAUCAAGAACGUAAGUUGGGGGCUCGAAGAUGAUUAGAUACCAUCGUAGUCUCAACCAUAAACGAUGCCGACUAGGGAUUGGCGGAUGUUACUUGAUGACUUCGCCAGCACCUUGUGAGAAAUCAAAGUCUUUGGGUUCCGGGGGGAGUAUGGUCGCAAGGCUGAAACUUAAAGGAAUUGACGGAAGGGCACCACCAUGGCGUGGAGCCUGCGGCUUAAUUUGACUCAACACGGGGAAACUUACCAAGGUCCAGACACAGUUGAUGAUUGACAGAUUGAGAGCUCUU
Molecule: ribosomal RNA, 634 nt
Filed under: uncultured marine eukaryote
Lineage: Eukaryota
Description: SSU rRNA
Rfam family: Eukaryotic small subunit ribosomal RNA
Source: RNAcentral